UAGCGUAUACUAAAGUUGUUGCAGUUAAAAAGCUCGUAGUUGGAUCUCGAGACCGGCCCGUCGGUCCUCCUCGCGGAGGUUUUACUGGCGUGCUCGCCGGCCUCACCUCGCCGGCUCUCUGCAGGUGCUCUUUACUGCGUGCCUGCGGCGGCCGGAGCGUUUACUUUGAAAAAAUUAGAGUGUUCAAAGCAGGCGUGCUCGCCUGAAUACUGGUGCAUGGAAUAAUGGAAUAGGACCUCGGUUCUAUUUUGUUGGUUUUCGGAAGUCGAGGUAAUGAUUAGUAGGGACGGUCCGGGGGCAUUCGUAUUGCGCGGUU
Molecule: ribosomal RNA, 316 nt
Filed under: Pseudopolydora environmental sample
Lineage: Eukaryota; Metazoa; Annelida; Polychaeta; Spionida; Spionidae
Description: SSU rRNA
Rfam family: Eukaryotic small subunit ribosomal RNA
Source: RNAcentral